UACCAGCACCCCGAGUGGUCGGGACGUUUAUUGGGCCUAAAGCAUCCGUAGCCGGUUCUACGAGUCUUCCGUUAAAUCCAACUGCUUAACAGGUGGGCUGCGGAAGAUACUAUAGAGCUAGGAGGCGGGAGAGGCAAGCGGUACUCGAUGGGUAGGGGUAAAAUCCGUUGAUCCAUUGAAGACCACCAGUGGCGAAGGCGGCUGCCAGAACGCGCUCGACGGUGAGGGAUGAAAGCUGGGGAGCAACCGG
RNAcentral lists this ribosomal RNA (250 nucleotides) under uncultured bacterium. RNAcentral describes it as "partial 16S ribosomal RNA". It matches the Rfam family "Archaeal small subunit ribosomal RNA", at positions 474 to 727 of the family's 1478-position model. The record is from RNAcentral.